GCAAAUUACAAACAUUCACAGCCUAUACAAACAGUUCUGUGUGGAUCUAUUCAUUAACAGGACCACAAGGUCAUCACGUGAGACUGGAAGGAAUUGUCACCUUUAGCAGGAGAAACGGUUCUUCACAGUAAGAACAAUAAAGAUACGGAAUGCAAUAAAUACAGACGUUCCAUUGUCAGAUGUAUUUAUUUAAACAGGACUAGAUGUAUUUUAGAAUAUGAGAACAGAAUUUAAGAAUUAUUAUUAAUAAUAAUAGCUGCACCAUUGUAUUUGAAGCAGAUAAUGGCUGUUGCCCAGAGGUCAGUGUCUUUCUAUAUUUUUUUAUAUUUGUGUGUUUUGAAUGCAUUUUUCCAUAAUGCAUUACAAAGGGGUCUCGGCACUACCAUGGGGUGUCAGUUUUAAUAGAAGACAAUGUGUAUUCCAGCUUGGUCUAGUUCUUUAAAGUGAUUCCCUCAGCUUCAUAACUAGUAGCUGAAGGGACACUAUAGGCAGCCAGACUAUUCAUCUCAUUGAAG
This is a non-coding RNA of Pelobates cultripes (western spadefoot toad), 515 nucleotides long. The record is from the annotation of a GenBank genome assembly. NCBI's taxonomy places the organism in Eukaryota, Metazoa, Chordata, Amphibia, Anura, Pelobatidae.